AAUUAAUUAAAAUAAUUCAGGAAGGGGGAGGUAAAUCUUAAAAUUAUCGUCUCUGUUCAGCAGGAGGAGAAAGGGGCCGGAGAGGACUAUGCGGCGAGGGUUAGUAUGUCCCUUUGGGCUUUUGUUGACUCGUGGCGCCCUUCUUUUCUCCUGAAGGCAGAGUGAAACACACAAUGAGUAAUCGAUCCGGUGAGAGUGGCUACCUGUUACUUGGGUCCAUACGACUGGCUGAUAAAUGACUUGUUCCUCCGAUCUCUUCGUACAGGGUGCUCGGGCGGCGCCUCCCCUUCUGCACACUCCGAGGUGAGCGCCAACCCGCGACACAGAACUCCAAUGGCACUGCAAGAGAGAGGUCACUCAAACUGCGGGGGACAACACAGGUAGGUACUUCACAGGCAACUGGGGCUCUAUUCUCACUUUAGUGAUUCGUAGCAAUGGACAAAGGUAAGUAUUCCACAGGCAACUGGGGCUCUAUUCUCACUUUAGUGAUUCGUAGCAAUGGACAAAGGUAAGUAUUUCACAGGCAACUGGGGCUCUAUUCUCACUUUAGUGAUUCGCAGCAAUGGGCAAAGGUAAGUAUUCCACAGGCAACUGGGGCUCUAUUCUCACUUUAGUGAUUCGUAGCAAUGGACAAAGGUAAGUAUUCCACAGGCAACUGGGGCUCUAUUCUCACUUUAGUGAUUCGUAGCAAUGGACAAAGGUAAGUAUUUCACAGGCAACUGGGGCUCUAUUCUCACUUUAGUGAUUCGUAGCAAUGGACAAAGGUAGGUAUUUCACAGGCAACUGGGGCUCUAUUCUCACUUUAGUGAUUCGUAGCAAUGGACAAAGGUAAGUAUUUCACAGGCAACUGGGGCUCUAUUCUCACUUUAGUGAUUCGCAGCAAUGGACAAAGGUAAGUAUUCCACAGGCAACUGGGGCUCUAUUCUCCUAGAAUACUUCUCCUGGGCGGUGGGCUUACGGUGAAAUACUGCGAUACAGUAAGUAGAUGAACUGUCAGACCUGGAGUAGUAAAUCGUCGUAGCGCAGUCCUCCACAGGG
This is a long non-coding RNA of Carassius gibelio (silver crucian carp), 1038 nucleotides long. RefSeq lists it as uncharacterized. The transcript has 5 exons. NCBI's taxonomy places the organism in Eukaryota, Metazoa, Chordata, Actinopteri, Cypriniformes, Cyprinidae. The record is from RefSeq and is a predicted model, not a curated record.